UACGGAGGAUGCGAGCGUUAUCCGGAUUUAUUGGGUUUAAAGGGUGCGUAGGCGGAUCAUUAAGUCAGUGGUCAAAUUGAGGGGCUCAACCCCUUCCCGCCAUUGAAACUGGCGAUCUUGAGUGGAAGAGAAGUAUGCGGAAUGCGUGGUGUAGCGGUGAAAUGCAUAGAUAUCACGCAGAACCCCGAUUGCGAAGGCAGCAUGCCGGCUUCCGACUGACGCUGAAGCACGAAAGCGUGGGGAUCGAACAGG
RNAcentral lists this ribosomal RNA (252 nucleotides) under uncultured bacterium. RNAcentral describes it as "partial 16S ribosomal RNA". It matches the Rfam family "Bacterial small subunit ribosomal RNA", at positions 524 to 776 of the family's 1533-position model. The record is from RNAcentral.